Molecule: ribosomal RNA, 185 nt
Filed under: uncultured bacterium
Lineage: Bacteria
Description: partial 16S ribosomal RNA
Rfam family: Bacterial small subunit ribosomal RNA
Source: RNAcentral
GUCCAACAUGGGUAAUCCACCAUCGAGUCGGGGUAAUAACCCGCCGACACAAGGCUGGCUAAUACCGCGUACGCUUCCGGGUUUUCGGGUCCGGAAGGAAAGCCAUGCCGUGGGUAUGGCGCUUCUUUGAUGAGCUCAUGUCCUAUCAGCUUGUUGGUAGGGUAANGGCUACCAGGGGUUUGAAA